UGAAGCUCACCCUCUCUCCCUCUAAAACUUCUUUGUCCUUGAAAGACAAUUGAAAACCCUCAAACCAUUGUUAUUUUAUGCUCUUCAAAAGGCCAAUUUUAUAUCUUUGCAAUAUUCGCAACCCAUUAUCUCCGUUUUCUCUUCUCGUGCCUCCACUCUCGAGGAACUAACCCCAUCUGCCCCCUUUUUCUCUUGGCUCUAUAAAGACAUUGUUUUGGUCAUUAAUCCUUUUCAUAUGCUAAAAAUAAAUACACAUCAAAAGUAAGUUUUGAUUUGAGGAUAAAUGCAUACGCAACUUGUGAUUUUGUAUGCAUUCAUGCCUACACCAGGAAUUAGAAAUUAUGUUUUAGUAAAAGAAAGAAUUAGUCAUUGAUAAGCAUGUUUCAUUUCUCG
This 393-nucleotide long non-coding RNA is filed under the name Amborella trichopoda. Its description in RNAcentral is "long non-coding RNA (ATRI_LNC003840)". Lineage: Eukaryota; Viridiplantae; Streptophyta; Magnoliopsida; Amborellales; Amborellaceae. The record is from RNAcentral.